This 255-nucleotide ribosomal RNA is filed under the name uncultured bacterium. RNAcentral describes it as "partial 16S ribosomal RNA". It matches the Rfam family "Bacterial small subunit ribosomal RNA", at positions 524 to 776 of the family's 1533-position model. The record is from RNAcentral.
UACGUAGGGUGCAAGCGUUUAAUCGGAAUUACUGGGCGUAAAGCGUGCGCAGGCGGUUUUGUAAGUCAGAUGUGAAAUCCCCGGGCUUAACCUGGGAACUGCGUUUGAAACUACAAGGCUAGAGUGUGACAGAGGGGGGUGGAAUUCCACGUGUAGCAGUGAAAUGCGUAGAGAUGUGGAGGAACACCGAUGGCGAAGGCAGCCCCCCUGGGUUAACACUGACGCUCAGGCACGAAAGCGUGGGGAGCAAACAGG